UACGUAGGUGGCAAGCGUUGUCCGGAAUUAUUGGGCGUAAAGCGCGCGCAGGCGGUCCUUUAAGUCUGAUGUGAAAUCACGUGGCUCAACCACGUGCGGUCAUUGGAAACUGGAGGACUUGAGUGCAGAAGAGGAAAGUGGAAUUCCAAGUGUAGCGGUGAAAUGCGUAGAUAUUAGGAGGAACACCAGUAGCGAAGGCGGCUCUCUGGACUGUAACUGACGCUGAGGCACGAAAGCGUGGGGAGCAAACAGGAUUAGA
RNAcentral lists this ribosomal RNA (259 nucleotides) under uncultured prokaryote. RNAcentral's name for it is "partial 16S ribosomal RNA". It matches the Rfam family "Bacterial small subunit ribosomal RNA", at positions 524 to 782 of the family's 1533-position model. The record is from RNAcentral.